UGUGUGCAAAUACAGCUGUUCUC
This 23-nucleotide non-coding RNA is filed under the name Rattus norvegicus (Norway rat). The record is from RNAcentral. Lineage: Eukaryota; Metazoa; Chordata; Mammalia; Rodentia; Muridae.